UUGGGGUUCAGCUGAAUCUUCUUGGUUACCACAUGGACACUGAAGAAAUAUACUCAGAUACAUCUGUCAUUUCAACCUAAGCUAUGAACAAAAAGUAUGAUGGUAAUGUACCAGAAGCCUCAGGCUUGGUUCUAAUCACAAACGGGGUGGACAGUCGGAGCAGGACCCUUUCAAAUGAGGCAUUAACCUUGGGAGAAACAAUUUCGAAGCAGUCCUCAAAAUUGAGCACUUUGUCCAGCCGGUAGAUCUUCUUUCCUGCGGCCUUGAUCAUGCCCAGCAUUGCAAAGCCCACCACAGGGUGAGGGUGGAAGUAGUGGAGCAGAAGUGCACCUUCGGGGAGCUCUUUGCACAAGAACGACGGAGACUCCAGAGUGGCCUGUUUUCCAAAAGAAGUUCUAAUGUGCUCCAACAGGGCAUCAAAGCCGUUAAAAAAGUCCUGCAAUGUGCCACCCACAGCUCGAAGGACUCGCUCAUUCUCAUCAAAGCAUAUAUUAAAGAACUCCUCACCAAAUC
Molecule: long non-coding RNA, 513 nt
Organism: Talpa occidentalis (Iberian mole)
Lineage: Eukaryota; Metazoa; Chordata; Mammalia; Eulipotyphla; Talpidae
Exons: 3
Source: RefSeq, a predicted model, not a curated record